GAUGAACGCUGGCGGCGUGCCUAAUACAUGCAAGUCGAGCGAACAGACGAGGAGCUUGUUCCUCUGACGUUAGCGGCGGACGGGUGAGUAACACGUGGAUAAGCUACCUAUAAGACUGGGAUAACUUCGGGAAACCGGAGCUAAUACCGGAUAAUAUAUUGAACAGCAUGGUUCAAUAGUGAAAGACGGUUUUGCUGUCACUUAUCGAUGGAUCCGCGCCGCAUAAGCUAGUUGGUAAGGUAACGGCUUACCAGGGAAACGAUGCCUAGCCUACCUGACAGCGUGAUCGGCCACACUGAAACUGAGAAACGGUCCAGACUCCUACGGGAGGCAGCGGUAGGCAAUCUUCCGCACUGGGCGAAAGCCUGACGGAGCAACGCCGACUGAGUGAUGAAGGUCUUCGGAUCCUAAAACGCUGUUAUGAAGGAAGAACAAAUGUGUAAGUAACUAUGCACGUCUUGACGGUACCUAAUCAGAAAGCCACGGCUAACUACGUG
This 497-nucleotide ribosomal RNA is filed under the name uncultured bacterium. Its description in RNAcentral is "partial 16S ribosomal RNA". It matches the Rfam family "Bacterial small subunit ribosomal RNA", at positions 28 to 507 of the family's 1533-position model. The record is from RNAcentral.